Long non-coding RNA from Ictalurus punctatus (channel catfish), 4792 nucleotides. Lineage: Eukaryota; Metazoa; Chordata; Actinopteri; Siluriformes; Ictaluridae. The record is from Ensembl.
CAACCAUUUACAAUCGCAAAAGCACUACGGUAUAUUGAGAAACAGGCUGUAGACCCAUCCAUUCAAGGGUUAUUCCAUGAUUACAUAAGUUGGACAAAAGCCUCGUAGGUGGUUAUUGUAGGUUAUUGUUUUCUCAGACCAUGACAUCAUUGGUGAGCCGAGGUCUCCUGGAAACCCAGAGAGUCAAGCAACAGGUCAAUUAACCAGAGCAGCUCAGAGGAGACUGAUGAUCGCUAACACUGACAACAAGCUGUGCUGAGCUCCAUCUCACGACAAUCACGUUACAUCAAGAAGACCAACACGGAAACCGGAAAAGACCGACGCAGUGGCUUCUGCCUCCAUUCAGCGCCCGACUACAUUUCCCAUCAUCCCCAGCGUGUCGCCAGUAUGAGGCGGCAGAAGAUGGAAACUGUGAAAAAAUGGAACAAGGAUUUUAUUGCACUUGACCAGCUGGAGACGAAAAUCCACUCCAAACAAAAUGGCAUGAUCGCCAAGAAUCUUCUGAAUACUCUCAAGAUCUGCAACCAUUUACAGCUCCAGCCCAUUUCUCGUUCAGCAUGUGCUAUCGGCUCCUGUCCGGAUCUGAUGAUGAGUAGGAAUGAGCAGCGUGGGUUUCGGCCAGCUCCCGUGGCACUGACCCCACAGCUGCCUCCCAGGACACACCGACCUCUCUGCCUCUCAGUGUCCUCAGACAGCAAUGGCCGCUUCAAAGCUCUGGAGACACAGGAAUGGAAGAACAACCUCAAAGCUCAGAUGGAGCAGGCCCACAGCGCUGGUGCAGCCAGCAGCACGGGCUCUCUAGAGCGAGCCUCUCUUUUCUGUGCCUCUGGCUCGACCACUGCCUCCAGCUCAGGCCUCUCGAGUCCCGUGGAGCUUCUCGGCAAGAGCAAGUCCUCUAGCCGUUUCUCGCUCUUCUCACCGCCGUGGAACAGCAGCUCUGAGUCUGACUCGAACCCUCCGUCGCGCACCGGUUCCAAGAAAUUGCGCCGCAGAGCAGGACCAGGGGGUGUCAAGACUAGCCCCGAGACACCUGAACCCAAACCGAGCGGCCCGGAACACUUUCACUACUCUGAACCUGUAAUCUCCAAAGUGACAGACUACAUCUACGUUGGGAACGUUAAUGCAGCGUAUAGUGGCCGCAUGCUGUGCCGGAACAACAUCGACAGCAUAAUUGACAUGAGCAGCCUGCCAGGUGAGACAUGCCUCAACCUGAUCCCUUGCACAUGCUCAAGAGGCACCAAGCACAGUUGGUCACGCCUGAAAGUGCACAUGGAGGAGUCACGCGAGCUGGGUGAGGAUGGAGCUGAGCUGCACCAGCGUUGCUUUGAUGCCAUCAAUGAGUGCAUCGAUGCCUCGGCCGGAAAGAGAAAGCGAGUGCUGGUUCACUGCCGUGAUGGCUUCUCACUCGCCCCUACAUGUGUCAUCCAGUACCUCAUGAUCAAGCACAACAUGAGGCUGAUUGCUGCGUAUGAGCUGCUCAGGGCCAAGCACCCAGUCAACAUCCGCGAGUGCCACCAGAAUGCUUUAGUGAGUCUGGAGAGGACGCUUCGACCUGGUGGAAACACCGACCCUGAAUGCUUCAAACAGGCCAUCUCACGCAAGAUAGCUUGGACUUAAACAUACCACCAUGCAUUCUUUUCAGCCUCAUACUGAUUUAUCUGGAACACUUCUAGGACUGGCAGCUUGGGGCUAAUUACUAACCCUACUGAUUAUUCAAAUAAAAACAACAACAAAAAAAACUUCUUCCAGAAUAAAUCUGAGAUGGAAAAACUCAAGGUCAAGUACUGUAUAGCUGCUAAUCAAGAAAGCUGGAGUGAAAAUGUGUCCGCUCUGGUGUUAAGACUAUGGUGCUGAAGUCUUGUGAAUAUGAGGGUUGCAGCCAUAGUGUUGUUACAUUUUUCUUUCAGGACAGCAUGACGGGAAAUCUCAGGAGACCCAGUGAUGUCAAAUCAUGUCUACUGGAUGGGGAGUGUAAAGCUUCUCCAAAUGGACUACCUUUGAAUAGUGGUUAAGCAUCGGUCUAGUGCCAUGUUUCCCAACUCAAUCCUUAGGAACCUCCAGACUGUCCACAUUUAGGCUCUCUCUUAACACAACAAACACAAAUCGAGCAGAACACUCAAUACCUGGCAGCUGUGUUGGGAGAGAGCAAAAGCGUGGACGGUCUGGGAGGGUUGGGAGACAUUGAUCUAGCGUCAAGUCUUUAACUGCUGCCAUUGUAAAAAAUAAACCUACAUUGAAUCUGAAUCGUUUUUGGUAAUCCAUUAAUUUUUCAGAAUCAGUGGACAUUCUUAAUGUUUUGUAGGUACAAAUUUUCCUCCAUGAGGAAUCUGGUCACAACCUUUUCCCAGACAUGUGAUUAUCACCAACUUCUCAGAGUUGAGUGCAAAAGUUUGCCUACCCUUAUCACAGUAAAUAAAGAAGUUUCCACUGUUUUUCCUCCAUUACCACUAGUAACAAAAAUAGUCACUGUUAAGAUUCUAAUGUUCAGAAAGUGAAAUAUUUUAAAAAUAGCUCGUUCACCUUUCUGACCUAUUUGCAUGAUCUUCAAGCAAAUUUUGGAUCGUUUUAUUUGUAAUAUUCCUGCCGGUCUUGGCCCAUUCUUGGUCAAUCUUGGCCCUUUCACUCCCUCCAGGAUUUUGUGAUCGCAGAAAUUAACGCAAAAUCAAGUAAACUCCGCAAUAAUCAGAGGAGCUUGCAGUUUUUCAAAAUUAACGCAGAUUUGGGCCAAGGCGCAUCAUGUGACGUCAUCACAACGUGCAUUCAGCCAAACCCAUCUUUGAUUCACGUGCGUUGAACGUGAGCUAAAAGGUCUCAUUUCAUCACUGAAAGACCGUGCAAAACAAUUUUGGCAAUUGCAGUUUCACCAAUUAAUGUAGUUUUCCACAAAAAAGCACAGAAACUCCACAUCUUGCAUCACAAAUUUUGAAGAAGGAAAACAAAAGCCAGAGCAAAAUCAAACAUUUUUGGCUGUGACGAUCACAAAAAAAAACUCUGCGAAAUCCUGUACGGACUGCUUUUUUUUUUUUUUUUUUUUUUUUUUUUUAAAACACAUCUCUGCUAAAAUGCUAUCAGAUAUAAUAGACCGCAUACUUCUAAUCAGAUCUGGAACCUGAUAGAGUCUUCCUUUUGGUUCUUAUGAAACCCAUGUAACGCAGAUACAGUAUGAAAAAGUGGUACAUUUACCCUUUUUCAUCCCAGAACUUUUGCACCCAACUGGAGCGUUGGUGCUUGGGAAGUGAGAUGUAUUGUGUCUGUAGUGAAACUGAUACCAACUAGUGUGUAUCUUUGGGUUGUCAGCAUUACUAGUGUGGAUUUGACUGAAUUGUGAAGCAGUGAAUUACUACAAAGACUUUUUUAUUGCACUAACUAGACGUUGUAAAGAAACUGCACAGGUGAAAUGUUCUUUAACUGACUUGCCACUCCUUUUAGUUCUUCAUUGCUCAGCAAAGGUAGACCUUUCCUAUUUUUAGAUGAAUAUGAUGCACAUGCUUCCUGUGUACUGAUUAUUAAUUGAUGCUAGAUUGCUGUUGUGUUUUAAUUCACCAUGUAGGAAGUACUAUCCAACCUCUUGUGUGGAAUUGCUUAUGCUUGUGUACAGUAAUUAUUAUAUUUUAAUAUUUUAGUGAGCAGUGUGCUGAGGUGGUGCGUUCCUGAGUUUUUGGUGCCUUUGAACUUGUCUUGCGUGAUUGUAUUGUGAGACUCACAUUAUGUAUGCAGUUGUCAGGCACUGACAAUGUUUUUAUACUCUGGAAUCUUCUGUAUAAUGCCUAAUCCUUGUCCUGCUGGCGAGUACUGCAUUGUGGUGUGCGGCAGGACACAGCUCAGUUCAGUAACGUGAAGGUUUUGUUGCAGUGGUCAUUCUGUGAGCAAUGGCAGUAUUUUCAACCCUUGUGGUGGUAACUAGUGCAUCUCUGUCUGACUGAUCGUAACUUCUCCCCACUGCUAUGCUUCUCUCCUAAAAACAUUAUCCACAGUCUAAUCUAUAUUUGGCCUAACUACAGUACACUGCUUUCUUUUGUUGUAUAUUUCUAACAGUUUGACUUGAUCUCAGGUGAAAUCUAUUGACCUAAACUAUAAUAUUCUCUGUUUAAACUAGAAAACAGAACAAUGUGGCAAUGUAUUUUCUGUAUUAUGUUUUUAAAGUCUUAUGCAUUUGUAUAUAUAGAUAUUAAAGAAAACAAUCAAUUCAUUUUGACUCGUCAUUGACUCGACAAUGAUUUGAAGUGUAUUACUAUAAAAUGCUCGAUCAACACACAACACAUAUAUGUGUAUGUAUGUGUGUAUGUAUAUGUGUGUGUGUGUGUGUAUUUAUUUAUUUAUUUAUUUGAGCCAGAACAGUUAUUUGCUAACAAUAUUGUCAUUCUGUUGGCAGAUAAUUUAGGCAUUUAAUGCAGUGGUGUUUCCUGUACAUGUUCUCCCUGUGUCCGUGUGGGUUUCCUUUGGAAUCUCCAAGUUUCCUCCUAUAUCCCGAAAAACAUGCUGUUAUAUUGGAUUGGCUACACUCUAUUGCUCCUAGGUGUAAAAGAGUGGGUGAAUGUGUGUGUGUGCAUGGUGCCCUGCCAGUGGAAGAUCAUUUUCACACUUGAAACUAGCAAAAAGUUCUAUAAACACAUUGAAUCGUCUGAUAAUAGUUUUACGAUGGGAUGAUAUUGUUAAGAUAUAACUUUCUGUAGUCAAUCGACCCUUAUUUUAUGCUCCGCUGCAAGGUGUGGAGGCAGUAUGUUCUUGGGUUUUCUGUGCAUCCAUCUGAGAUUCUCUGAGAAUAUGACAAGAGAUAUGACAAGAACGAGUG